RNAcentral lists this ribosomal RNA (823 nucleotides) under uncultured Fusobacterium sp. RNAcentral's name for it is "bacterial SSU rRNA". It matches the Rfam family "Bacterial small subunit ribosomal RNA", at positions 46 to 886 of the family's 1533-position model. The record is from RNAcentral. Lineage: Bacteria; Fusobacteriati; Fusobacteriota; Fusobacteriia; Fusobacteriales; Fusobacteriaceae.
GCUUAACACAUGCAAGUCUACUUGAAUUUGGGUUUUUAACUUAGGUUUGGGUGGCGGACGGGUGAGUAACGCGUAAAGAACUUGCCUCACAGCUAGGGACAACAUUUAGAAAUGAAUGCUAAUACCUAAUAUUAUGAUAAUAGGGCAUCCUAUAAUUAUGAAAGCUAUAUGCGCUGUGAGAGAGCUUUGCGUCCCAUUAGCUAGUUGGAGAGGUAACGGCUCGCCAAGGCGAUGAUGGGUAGCCGGCCUGAGAGGGUGAUCGGCCACAAGGGGACUGAGACACGGCCCUUACUCCUACGGGAGGCAGCAGUGGGGAAUAUUGGACAAUGGACCGAGAGUCUGAUCCAGCAAUUCUGUGUGCACGAUGAAGUUUUUCGGAAUGUAAAGUGCUUUCAGUUGGGAAGAAAGAAAUGACGGUACCAACAGAAGAAGUGACGGCUAAAUACGUGCCAGCAGCCGCGGUAAUACGUAUGUCACGAGCGUUAUCCGGAUUUAUUGGGCGUAAAGCGCGUCUAGGUGGUUAUAUAAGUCUGAUGUGAAAAUGCAGGGCUCAACUCUGUAUUGCGUUGGAAACUGUAUAACUAGAGUACUGGAGAGGUAAGCGGAACUACAAGUGUAGAGGUGAAAUUCGUAGAUAUUUGUAGGAAUGCCGAUGGGGAAGCCAGCUUACUGGACAGAUACUGACGCUGAAGCGCGAAAGCGUGGGUAGCAAACAGGAUUAGAUACCCUGGUAGUCCACGCUGUAAACGAUGAUUACUAGGUGUUGGGGGUCGAACCUCAGCGCCCAAGCAAACGCGAUAAGUAAUCCGCCUGGGAGUACGUA